GGAACGAGAAUAGCUUGCUAUUCGGCGUCGAGCGGCGGACGGGUGAGUAAUGCUUGGGAAUAUGCCUUUUGGUGGGGGACAACAGUUGGAAACGACUGCUAAUACCGCAUAAUGUCUACGGACCAAAGCGGGGGACCUUCGGGCCUCGUGCCAAAAGAUUAGCCCAAGUGAGAUUAGCUAGUUGGUGGGGUAAAGGCCUACCAAGGCGACGAUCUCUAGCUGGUUUGAGAGGAUGAUCAGCCACACUGGGACUGAGACACGGCCCAGACUCCUACGGGAGGCAGCAGUGGGGAAUAUUGCACAAUGGGGGGAACCCUGAUGCAGCCAUGCCGCGUGUGUGAAGAAGGCCUUCGGGUUGUAAAGCACUUUCAGUCGUGAGGAAAGGGUGAGUCUUAAUACGGCUCAUCUGUGACGUUAGCGACAGAAGAAGCACCGGCUAACUCCGUGCCAGCAGCCGCGGUAAUACGGAGGGUGCGAGCGUUAAUCGGAAUUACUGGGCGUAAAGCGUGCGUAGGCGGUUUGAUAAGUCAGAUGUGAAAUCCCGGAGCUCAACUUCGGAACUGCAUUUGAAACUGUUUGACUAGAGUACUGUAGAGGGUGGUGGAAUUUCCAGUGUAGCGGUGAAAUGCGUAGAGAUUGGAAGGAACAUCAGUGGCGAAGGCGGCCACCUGGACAGAUACUGACGCUGAGGCACGAAAGCGUGGGGAGCGAACAGGAUUAGAUACCCUGGUAGUCCACGCCGUAAACGAU
This 750-nucleotide ribosomal RNA is filed under the name bacterium LFM1. Its description in RNAcentral is "bacterial SSU rRNA". It matches the Rfam family "Bacterial small subunit ribosomal RNA", at positions 68 to 810 of the family's 1533-position model. The record is from RNAcentral.